AACGAACGCUGGCGGCAUGCCUAACACAUGCAAGUCGAACGAGACCUUCGGGUCUAGUGGCGCACGGGUGCGUAACGCGUGGGAACCUGCCCUUAGGUUCGGAAUAACUCCCCGAAAGGGGUGCUAAUACCGGAUAAUGUCUUCGGACCAAAGAUUUAUCGCCUUUGGUUGGGCCCGCGUUGGAUUAGCUAGUUGGUAGGGUAAAAGCCUACCAAGGCGACGAUCCAUAGCUGGUCUGAGAGGAUGAUCAGCCACACUGGGACUGAGACACGGCCCAGACUCCUACGGGAGGCAGCAGUGGGGAAUAUUGGGCAAUGGGCGAAAGCCUGAUCCAGCAAUGCCGCGUGAGUGAUGAAGGCCUUAGGGUUGUAAAGCUCUUUUACCCGGGAUGAUAAUGACAGUACCGGGAGAAUAAGCUCCGGCUAACUCCGUG
Molecule: ribosomal RNA, 433 nt
Filed under: uncultured bacterium
Lineage: Bacteria
Description: partial 16S ribosomal RNA
Rfam family: Bacterial small subunit ribosomal RNA
Source: RNAcentral